UACGUAGGUGGCAAGCGUUGUCCGGAUUUACUGGGCGUAAAGAGCGCGCAGGCGGUCGAUUAAGUCGAAUGUGAAAGCCCCCGGCUCAACUGGGGAGGGUCAUUCGAUACUGAUCGACUUGAAGGCAGGAGAGAGAAGUGGAAUUCCCGGUGUAGUGGUGAAAUGCGUAGAUAUCUGGAGGAAUACCGGUGGCGAAGGCGGCAUCCUGGACCGACAUUGACGCUGAUGAGCGAAAGCUAGGGGAGCAAACGGG
RNAcentral lists this ribosomal RNA (253 nucleotides) under uncultured bacterium. Its description in RNAcentral is "partial 16S ribosomal RNA". It matches the Rfam family "Bacterial small subunit ribosomal RNA", at positions 524 to 776 of the family's 1533-position model. The record is from RNAcentral.